GAUGAACGCUGGCGGCGCGCCUAACACAUGCAAGUCGAACGAUUAAAGCACCUUCGGGUGUGUAUAAAGUGGCGAACGGCGGAGUAACACGUGGGCAAACUGCCCCUUUCAUUGGGAUAGCCAGGGGAAACCGUGGAUAAUACCGAAUACUUCGAGACUUCCGCAUGGAAGACCCGAGAAAGCUCCGGCGGCGCGGGAUGGGCCCGCGGCCUGUUGGCUUGUUGGUGGGGUAACGGCCUACCAAGGCAAUGCUGGGUUGCUGGGUUGAGAGACCGACCAGCCAGAUUGGGACUGAGACACGGCCCAGACUCCUACGGGAGGCAGCAGUGGGGAAUCUUGCACAAUGGGCGAAAGCCUGAUGCAGCGACGCCGCGUGCGGGAUGAAGGCCUUCGGGUUGUAAACCGCUUUCAGCAGGGACGAGGCGAAAGUGACGGUACCUGCAGAAGAAGCCCCGGCUAACUACGUG
Molecule: ribosomal RNA, 467 nt
Filed under: uncultured bacterium
Lineage: Bacteria
Description: partial 16S ribosomal RNA
Rfam family: Bacterial small subunit ribosomal RNA
Source: RNAcentral